This 384-nucleotide ribosomal RNA is filed under the name uncultured bacterium. Its description in RNAcentral is "bacterial SSU rRNA". It matches the Rfam family "Bacterial small subunit ribosomal RNA", at positions 32 to 396 of the family's 1533-position model. The record is from RNAcentral.
AAUCAACGCUGGCGGCGUGCCUCAGACAUGCAAGUCGAACGCGAAAGUUUCCUUCGGGGAACAAGUAGAGUGGCGCACGGGUGAGUAACACGUAGGUAAUCUACCUUUGGAUGGGGAAUAACAACCGGAAACGGUUGCUAAUACCGCAUAAUGCAGCGGCACCUAAUGGUGACAGUUGUUAAAGCGGGGGAUCGAAAGACCUCGCGUCUGAAGAGGAGCCUGCGGCGGAUUAGCUAGNGGUAAGGUAAUGGCUUACCAAGGCGACGAUCCGUAACCGGCCUGAGAGGGCGGUCGGUCACACUGACACUGACAUACGGGUCAGACUCCUACGGGAGGCAGCAGUCGGGAAUUUUGGGCAAUGGGCGAAAGCCUGACCCAGCAACG